Molecule: ribosomal RNA, 449 nt
Filed under: uncultured organism
Description: partial 16S ribosomal RNA
Rfam family: Bacterial small subunit ribosomal RNA
Source: RNAcentral
ACUCCUACGGGAGGCAGCAGUGGGGAAUAUUGGACAAUGGGCGCAAGCCUGAUCCAGCCAUGCCGCGUGAGUGAUGAAGGUCCUAGGGUUGUAAAGCUCUUUCACCGGUGAAGAUAAUGACGGUAACCGGAGAAGAAGCCCCGGCUAACUUCGUGCCAGCAGCCGCGGUAAUACGAAGGGGGCUAGCGUUGUUCGGAUUUACUGGGCGUAAAGCGCACGUAGGCGGACUAUUAAGUCAGGGGUGAAAUCCCGGGGCUCAACCCCGGAACUGCCUUUGAUACUGGUAGUCUUGAGUUCGAGAGAGGUGAGUGGAAUUCCGAGUGUAGAGGUGAAAUUCGUAGAUAUUCGGAGGAACACCAGUGGCGAAGGCGGCUCACUGGCUCGAUACUGACGCUGAGGUGCGAAAGCGUGGGGAGCAAACAGGAUUAGAUACCCGAGUAGUCCCAUGA